Molecule: ribosomal RNA, 1377 nt
Filed under: Megophrys hansi
Lineage: Eukaryota; Metazoa; Chordata; Amphibia; Anura; Megophryidae
Description: partial 16S ribosomal RNA
Rfam family: Bacterial large subunit ribosomal RNA
Source: RNAcentral
GACGCCCAUAAUCUAGCCCAACUUUUCCUACAAACUCACCCUCUUUCCCUCAAAAUAAAAUAAAACAUUCUUAAUCUUUAGUAAAUGCGAUUAAAAAAGAACCUGGAGCUACACAUAUAGUACCGCAAGGGAAAGAUGAAAUAGAAGUUAAAUAAAUAUUUAAGCAUAAAAAAGCAAAGAUUUCAACUUGUACCUUUUGCAUCAUGGUCUAACUAGUCCAUCCAGGCAAAAAGGUUUUUAGUCUGAUACCCCGAAACUAAGUGAGCUACUCCGAGGCAACCUUAGAGUGAACCCGUCUCUGUGGCAAAAGAGUGGGACGACCUCCGAGUAGAGGCGACAUACCUAUCGAACUUAGUGAUAGCUGGUUACUCAAGAAAAGAAUUUUAGUUCAAUCUUAAAGGAACCCUUCAUAACUUAAUUAAAUAUACCCAUCCUUUAAGACUUAUUCAAUAAGGGUACAGCCUUAUUGAAAAAGGAUACAACCUAAAACUCAGGUUAAUGAUUUCUUCUUCUAAGAGGAGCUAGUUGGCUUAAGAGCAGCCACCUUUUUAAUAGCGUCAAAGCUUUCUCCUUCUUAAUUCUCUAAUACUUAUUUCCCAUCAGAACCCGAUCAUAUUAUUGAGUCAUCCUAUACUUUUAUAGAAGUGUUUAUGUUAGAACUAGUAACACAGAAUUAUUUCUCUCUAUGUAAGUGUAAAUCAGAUUGAAUACGUCACUGAUACUUACUCAGUAAUGAAAACAAUGUAGCAACUUCACUAGAAAAUCCUACUAUCUUUUCUGUUAACCUAACACAAGAACAUAAGAAAAAGAUUAAAAGACUAAGAAGGAACUCGGCAAAUAAGGAUCCCGCCUGUUUACCAAAAACAUCGCCUCUUGAAUAAUAUACUAGGUACUGCCUGCCCAGUGACUAUAUGUUUAACGGCCGUGGUAUUUUGACCACGCAAAGGUAGCGUAAUCACUUGUUUUUUAAAUAAAGACUUGUAUGAAUGGCUUGACGAGGAUCCAACUGUCUCCUCUGUCCAAUCAGUGAAACUGAUCCCCUCGUGCAGAAGCGAGGAUUAACUCAUAAGACGAGAAGACCCUAUGGAGCUUUAAACUUAUAUCAACAAUUUUACCCCCUUUUCCUCUAACUGAACUAACAUUUAACUAAAUCUGCUUGAUUAAAGUUUUGGGUUGGGACGACCAUGGAGAAAAAAAAAUCCUCCCUGAUGACACCUAACUAAGAGCCUCAGCUCUAAGUAAUAAGAUACUUAACUUCUAUUGACCCAUUUUAUGAUCAACGAACCAAGUUACCCUAGGGAUAACAGCGCAAUCCAUUUCAAGAGUCCUUAUCGACAAAUGGGUUUACGACCUCGAUGUUGGAUCAGGGCACCCAAG